Long non-coding RNA from Tigriopus californicus, 550 nucleotides. RefSeq lists it as uncharacterized. Lineage: Eukaryota; Metazoa; Arthropoda; Copepoda; Harpacticoida; Harpacticidae. The transcript is spliced from 3 exons. The annotation marks the transcript as partial. The record is from RefSeq and is a predicted model, not a curated record.
ACAAGUGGCUAGAGUGGUCAACAAUCCUGAUUAUUUACUCCUUACUUAUUCAAGAAGUUAAGCAUUUUUCUUACGUUUUGGCUUAAAGACUUACAACUCUGACGAGGAAGUGGGUCCGAUCUACGAAGAACGAACUUCCAACAACGGGGGACCAAUCCUCAGCUUGGACUUGAUUAGUGAGAAAGUGGGAGUGCCUCCAAGGAUCCAAACACUCCACCCACUCCUCCACCCAUUCCCGGAUCAAGUGUCGCGGCCAAUCUACCGGUUUCCGUCAAAAGUGCUCACAGCCAUAACUCCAAAGGUGACCAAAAGAAACCGGACAAAAAAUCAAACUCCAUGGCUGCAGGAUCUAGCGCUCGCAGUGCAUCCACUUCCGCCAUAGCCAUGAGCUGCAACCCUUUUAGUGGAAGCCUUUGGGAGCGUCGUGAGCCUUAUUCUCACUUGUGGGUAACUCUGAGCUCUAUGUAUGGGAAAUUCCUGGUCCUCUUGAUGUUGGCCUUUUGUCUUAUUGAAGUCAUGGACAAUAACAUCCGACCCCUGGCCUUUCAGG